Molecule: long non-coding RNA, 2251 nt
Organism: Vulpes vulpes (red fox)
Lineage: Eukaryota; Metazoa; Chordata; Mammalia; Carnivora; Canidae
Source: Ensembl
UACAGAACGGAGCAGACAGCUUCUGGGAAGACCAGGUUCUGGCAUUUCUUGGACCGUGUACCAGAAUGGUUGUUGGAGAAAACCAUUUGAUGUCCCUGAGUCUCCAUUUCUCUGGAAAAAGAUAAGUUAGUCUUAUAUUACUCAGGGACCAGAAGCCUUCUUGAGCCUUCCAGCUUUUAGAUCUCUGGUACAAAUUUCCUGUGAAUGCCAAAAAUGUAUUUCUUUUAGAUCCCUUCCUUGGUUCAAAUUUCAUAAUACCUUAGAUUGACCUUCCUACUGAUUAAUUUGAACUAACAAGAUUUUAUUGUAGUACAUACACAAAUCUCUCAGGCUGUAAUGUGAGGCAUAGAUUGACCAAAAGGAUAGAUUUAUCUUCAGUGCUGCUCUGAGCACAAACCGAUGAACAAACCAAACACCGUUUGAUGAGGAUGACGUUCUUUCUUAUCUUGUUCAUUUCUAUGGCAAUUUCCACCAUUUGGAAUCUUGCAGGUCCCAACAGUCACAGAAUGAUGUUCCUUGCUGAGCAAUCUUUUCCAACUGUGACAGAAGGCAGAAGAGGGGUGAGCCCUGUUCUUCAUGAAAAAGGAGGCAGGAUGGAGUAAAAAAGAACAUGGAUUCCUUCCCUUCCAGAUAAUUCAGAUUGUUGCAAGGACUAAACGACACCAUGUCUGUGGAGUGCCUGGUGGUGUCUGACCCAUGGAAGAGGCUCAACAACAUGGUGGCUGAGACCAGAAAGGUGAGGCUAGAGAAGAUGAGGAGGGUCAGAGGGACUACUCUGAGACUCAGUUCUAGCUCACUUGUUAUCAAGUAAUCUUGGCACCAUCACCAUAUCCCUGAGCCUCAUCUAUAAAAUCAGGAUAAUGUGAUCUACUUCAUGGGUUUAACAUGAAAAUUAAAUGACAUAACAAGUGUGCAAAAUUUUUUAAAAGAAGAUAACUUUUAACAAAUAGGAAACCAUUGGUGGGCAAUGACACUAUGGCAGCUAGCACAGAGCCACACACAACUGGACCUGAGCGAAUGCUUUCUUUCUAUGGUAAUGAAGAGCAGCCGAGGUAAGGCCUCUCCCCCUGCCCACUCUCUGCUCUAGUCACAUUUGUUCUCUGUUCUGAAGACCUUCAUCCAUGCUGUUCCCUCUACCAUGAAUAAUCUUUCACCGCCACCCUUCACCUGAAACCACCUACUCACCACUCAGGGGUCAGUCUACACUCUUUUCCCAGAAGUCUUCCCUGCCCUUCACAAUUGAGCUCCAUGAAUUCCAAAACUGCCCUACUUGUCUUUGGCAAGAACACUGUCUUAUAAUAUUGAGUUUUGUCUAGACCAUUCCAUGAGACUGUAAACUUCUUGAAAGUAGAGAAUGCAUAUUUUCUCUAUUAGUGUACCUGCAACAUGGAGCCUUGUGUCAGCCCACAGAAGGUACUUGGAGAAUACUGAGUUGUGAGAUCAUGAAAGUAGAUUCAAAACCUAAAAGACUCGUCACGUGGUUCUCAUUUUUCUUAGGGUGCUAUGAUGGUUAACUGAUUGCCAUUCUCUCUUGCACUAAUGUUGUAGGAUCCGUGGCCUCAACUGGAAUUAUCAAGUGCUACAAAUUAUAGUUAAACCUAUGCUCAUUCAAGAUUCAAAGCUAAAACUUCUAAAAUGCUUAGCAACAUUAAAAAGAAAGUAGUUCAGAUUUGAAUGUUUUCAUCCAAGAGCAUUUAGAAGGGAUCAAUAAGCCAGUUCAACAAAUAUUUACCUUGAAUCAAGUCCUUAUUCUUCAAGCUUUUUACAUCUUUUUACAAUUCAAAAGAAAUGUAAUCCCUGAUAGUCUCCCUUCAUUUGUUCAUAAAGCAUUAAUAUGCUGGUUUGAAUGAGCUUUUUAAGAUGAAAAAAAAUGCCCUUUCAUUGGAGUUGUUGAAAGCAGCUUUUCCUCUUAAAUAUGGAGGUCAGUUUUUUACUGAACAGAAACAUUAAUUCAUCAAGAUAUUGUUGCCUCCUAAUACCAAUAUUGUUGCCUAUGAAUUCAAAGUAUAAGAUUUGACUAAAUUCAAAAAAAAAAAAAGAUUUGACUAAAUUCAUUUUCCUAUUAUUUAUCUAUAUUUUUUAAGAUAUAUCUAGGAUUGCAGUGGGCCAUUGCAAACUACUCAGCAGGUCAGCUAUCAAAGCUUUCAGACAAUAGCAAAAUUUUCAGCAGAGUGAAAAGGGAGUCAAGUUUUGGUCAUCUACAGCAACAAAGAGCUGUUGAAUGGAAAAAUAAAAUCUCUUGGGCUACUCA